This 729-nucleotide ribosomal RNA is filed under the name Triticum aestivum (bread wheat). RNAcentral's name for it is "partial small subunit ribosomal RNA". The record is from RNAcentral. Lineage: Eukaryota; Viridiplantae; Streptophyta; Magnoliopsida; Poales; Poaceae.
AUGACCGUGUGGAUUGGGAUUUUUUUCGAGAAGGCCCUAGUGAAGUGGGGUUUUUCUGGCAUUUGGAUAGGAUGGAUUAUGGCAUGCAUUAAGUCGGUAAAAUAUUCAGUGAAGCUCAACGGGAAAUUACUUGAGGUGUUUUCCCCGUCGCGGGGCUUGCGACAAGGUGAUCCAUUGUCUCCUUUUCUUUUCCUUUUUGUCGCUGAUGCUCUGUCUGCUCUUAUCUCCAAGUCUGUUGCGGAUGGUGACUUGCGGGGUGUGAGUAUUUGUCGGGGUGCACCAAUCAUAUCCCACUUGCUUUUUGCGGACGACACAAUGUUGCUCUUUGAGGCGUCUGGCCAGCAAGCUAGCAUUGUCAAGGGUUUGUUGAACACUUAUACUGCAGCAACGGGUCAACUUAUCAACCCUGAGAAGUGUUCCAUCCUGUUUUCGGACAAUUGUGAUGCGGCGGUGGCGGAUGAGGUGAAGGGCCUUUUGGAUAUAACUCAGCAGGUGUUUGAUCCAAAAUAUUUGGGGUUGUCGGUUCCUGAGGGAAGAAUGCAUAAAGGAAGGUUUGAAACACUACAGGAGCGCCUGCGGAAGCGAUUAAUAGACUGGAGCGAACAAUAUAUGUCUGUGGGUAAUAAGGAAAUCCUCGUCAAGGCGGUCGUGCAUGCCAUUCCUACGUAUGUUAUGAGCGUCUUCAAAUUGCCAGCUUCUGUGUGUGAUGAGUUAACACGGAUGACGUGA